Molecule: long non-coding RNA, 647 nt
Filed under: Salmo salar (Atlantic salmon)
Lineage: Eukaryota; Metazoa; Chordata; Actinopteri; Salmoniformes; Salmonidae
Description: lncRNA (ENSSSAG00000115906.1)
Source: RNAcentral
UGAGUUUUAGUACUGGGAGUCACAGUUGAAAAUCAGUCUGUUGGUGCGUGAUGAAGAGGACGAGCCCUCGCUCAUUUUACUUUUCUAUUGGACAUACUUCUUUCCGUAUUAAAUAUUAUAGUUUAAUUACAUUUUAGGGUAUCUGAGGAUUAAAUAGAAACGUAGUUUGACUUGUUUGAACAAAGUUUAGCGGUAGAUUUUUGUAUUCCUUUGUCUGCAUAUUGAAUGAGUGGAUUACUGAAAUCGAUGGCGCCAACUAAACUGACUUUUUGGGAUAUAAAGAAGGAUUUUAUCUAACAAAACGACCAUGCAUGUUGUAGCUGGGACCCUUGGGAUUGCAAACAGAGGAAGAUUUUCAAAAAGUGGACUCCAAUGAAGUUGUAAAAACAUCUCAAGGAUGAUCAAUGGAAACAGGAUGCACCUGAUCUCAAUUUCGAGUCUCAUAGCAAAAGGUUGCGAGUUCAUUAAGUAGUCAUCAGGUGACAUGCUGGGUUCUGAGGUUUUAUCUGUGGUCCCCAGGUGACCGUAGCCAAUUACAGGCAAAACCUUCAUGGCACCUCCAUGGCAUUAUCCAGGCAUGAAGGGAGGCUAGUCAUUACUACACAUAAUGGUCCCCAGGGCUGGAACUUGUUCUGGGCCUCCUGAUA